Molecule: long non-coding RNA, 574 nt
Organism: Aedes albopictus (Asian tiger mosquito)
Lineage: Eukaryota; Metazoa; Arthropoda; Insecta; Diptera; Culicidae
Exons: 2
Source: RefSeq, a predicted model, not a curated record
CAUAUCAUUUUACUGAUAGAAUCUAAGUGCAAAAAGCACAUAGAUGACGAACGAGAGAGAGAAAAAUGAUUCUAUGUGCAUCUAAUGAGAAUUAAAAGUUACUAUGUUAAAUUUGAUUUGUCUUAUAAUAAAUUUAGAGUGCAACAACUUAAUAAGCAACCCUGUCAACUUAAAAUCCAAACACAAGCAUAACAAACGCGAAACGAGCAUGGCGCGCGCAGAAGACCCACGUUUUGCUCCGAAAAAAGAUCUCUUUCAACAUCAAGGUGCUCAGGAAAUUUGCCGAUCGUGCUGCUUCUUGUUUUUGAAGAAUUGCGUCGAGAAUUGCACAUCGACCGCUUCUCCAUGUGACGGUGCACCGUCACCCAUCAGGCCGAAAUCGUAAACGAUUUGGAAGCUACGGGUUGGACGGGCGAUUGAGACGUACUUUUUGACCGGUAGCCAGCGGGAACUCAUCGUGGCAUCUGCGGAUCUCACUGGUCCAUCAUCUUCGUUGGCCGUGGUGUCGUCGGUGGAUCGGCAGAUUAAGUGCGCAAUGGCUUAUAAUUAAAACAUAUUUUGUAACAAUCGUCAA